RNAcentral lists this long non-coding RNA (5172 nucleotides) under Sus scrofa (pig). RNAcentral describes it as "lncRNA (ENSSSCG00060031873.1)". Lineage: Eukaryota; Metazoa; Chordata; Mammalia; Artiodactyla; Suidae. The record is from RNAcentral.
CUUUCCUAGGGCCGCACCCAUGGCAUAUAGAUAGAGAUUCCCAGGCUAGGGGUCUAAUCAGAGCUGUAGCCACUGGCCUAUGCCAGAGCCACAGCAACUCGGGAUCCGAGCCAAGUCUGCAACCUACACCACAACUCAUGGCAAUGCGGGAUCCUUAACCCACUGAGCAAGGCCAGGUAUCGAACCCACAACCUCAUCGGUCCUAGUUGGAUUCGUUAACCAUUGAGCCAUGACAGGAACUCCCAGCCAGGGUUUUUAAUCUGGUCCUCAUGGACAGACUUCAAGGAUAUCUGUGAAUCCUUUGAAAUCUUUUUUUAUGUCUCUUUUAUUCCCCCUUGGGAAAGGAGGCUUCAUUUCAUAUUCCAGAUUAUUAAAGAGAUCUGUGACCUAAAAAAGUUUUAACAGUUGCUGCUUUGGAAUGUAUUUUAAAUGAACUCUAAUUUGGCAAACCCAGUUAUCUCUUAAAGAAAACCUAUUGUCUUAUAUGUGAAGAAUUAGACCAAGAUUUGAAAAUACAAAUAGUCUUAAGAUUCUUGAUUAGGAAAUAACAUUUAGAAAAAAAGCAAAAAUACCUUUGAUAUUUAAGAUCCUAUCUCUCUAAAAAAUCUUAAAAAAAAAAUUCUUGCUUUUAUCAUUCUCUUUCAUGAAAGCCCAUAGCAGUUUUAUUCCCUUCACAGUCUCUAGUAUGAAGUUUAAGAAUUAUUCUUUCAUUAGCAUAUAUCUUUCAGUGUUCAUAUAUUUUAACUUUUUCUAGACAAAAAUCCAUCUUUCUAAUUAAAUAUAGAUAUUUCUGCUACAGUGGUUAAUAGCUUAGGCUUUGGAAUCAAAAUAUCCAAGUUUGAAUUCUGAUAUAUGCUAGUCUGAGGCCAUAGAAAAGUUGUAGUACCUGGAAACCUCUAUUUCCUCUAUUUCAAAAAAGAUGUGGGAUAAUAACAGAACCUAAUUUGAAGUGUUUCUAUAAAAAUUAAAUUAGGUUAUGUAAAGAAGGCUUGAUACAAUAAAUUCAUUCCUUCCAAACAGAACAGCCCUCUCAAAUUCAAGUUAUUCUCAUCAGAAAUUAUAAUUAAGGAGUUCCCGUCGUGGCGCAGUGGUUAACGAAUCCGACUAGGAACCAUGAGGUUGCGGGUUCGGUGCCUGCCCUUGCUCAGUGGGUUAACGAUCCGGCGUUGCCGUGAGCUGUGGUGUAGGUUGCAGACGCGGCUCGGAUCCCGCGUUGCUGUGCCUCUGGCGUAGGCCAGUGGCUACAGCUCCGAUUCAACCCCUAGCCUGGGAACCUCCAUAUGCCGCAGGAGCGGCCCAAGAAAUAGCAACAACAACAACAACAAAAACAACAAAAAAGGACAAAAGACAAAAGNUUAAGACAAAGAUCCUGCAGAAGAUUCAGAUGCACUGAAGUCACUAACUUGUUUUAAUUACUUUUACUUUUUCUAGCUUUAUUGAGAUAUAAUUGACAUAUAAUAUUGUGUAAGUUUAACGUGUACAAUAUGUUGAUUUAAUACUCAUACAUUACAAAAUGAUACCACAGUAACUUGCAUUAGCUAACACCUGCAUCAUCUCACAUGAUCACCAUUUCAUUGUUGUGGUGAGAGUAUUUAAGAUCUACUCUUUCAAGUACACGAUACCAUGUUAUUAAUUACAGUCACUAUGCUUUACAUUAGAUCCCUAGAACUUAUUCAUCUUAUAACUGGAAGUUCAUCCUCUUUGAUCAGCACCUCUCUUUUGUCCUACUCUCCAGCUCCUGGUAACCACCAUCCUAGUCUCUGUUUCUAUGAGCUCAGCUUUGUAAAAUUCCACAUGUAUCUAUCUCUUCAAGACCCUGUUUUCAUUUCCUUCAGAUACCUACUGAAGAAGUGGGCUUGCUGGAUCAUAUGGCAGAUUUAGUUUUAAUUUUCUGAGGACCAUCAUACUGUUUUCCAGAGUGACUGAAAUAAUUUACAUUUCCACCAACAGUGCAAAGGAUCCCUUUUCUCCACAUCCUUACCAACACUUCCCUGUUGAAGAGGUGGGAAGAUGAAGAAAGCCCUCCCAGGCCUUCUGACCUCAGUGUGGAAAGCCAAGCACCAGAUUCCCCUCUGGUGUUUGCAUAGCUGGGAGCUUCGCUAGUUGUCCCUGAUGAAGAGACUGGACUUGAAUGAUCUUAAUUCUAAUUGCAAAUCUGCUUAUAUCUUCUAGCUUUCCCUGCUCCGCCUCUAAGCUCAUUCCUUGGCUUAUCCCUCUUUUCCCCUAUUCUUUCCCAACCCAAACACUCUAUACCCUCUAGACUGAAUUGCUGAUCAUCUCAUCAACAAAGAAUGUGGAUUGUGAGGCUGACAAACUUUGACUUAAAUUCUGUGUUGCUUAUUAUCUGCGUGAUGUGGGACACAUUGCUUCACCUCACUAAGCCUCAGUUUUCUCAUGUGUAAUAAGGGGGGAAGUUAUACAUUUUUCAUAGGUUCUGGAGCUUCAAAGGGCUCAUGUUAUGGUUACUUAUUGCUGAAUAACAAACCACCUUGGAUCACAGUAGGUUAAAAUAGUGAGUUACAUUUAUUUUGCCCAUAAAUCUUCAAUUUAGGUAAAGUUCCAAGAGAAAGAAAGCCAGGUGGAAAACAAUGCCUUUUAUGACCUCACCUGGAGGUCUUAGAGGGUGACUUCUGCUAUUUUCUGCUCAUUAAGGAAGUCACAAAAUUCCACUGUUUCAAGGGGAGUGAAAAUAGACUCUACUGUUUGAAAGGCCUUAACUUUUAUGCAAACUUCCUCUGAAAGAAAUUUUGCCAUAUGGUUGAUUACUCUUAGGAUCGAGGUGAUUUACCAUUACAGUUAAAGAGAAAACCAGAAUGUGAGGCAAAGCUAAGUUCUCAAGAGAAAAUUAAACAUAGAAAAAUUCCUUAGCUCCAGUAUCAUUGGUGAGUACAACCAGAAAUCACUACAGAAGAAUUAUCACCUAUUCAGAGUUCUCCUGGACUUUUAAAGGAUAUGGCCUUCAUAUCUGUUAUCACAGAGACUGAAAUGGAACUCAGGAAAUCAUUGUUAACCAAACAAUUGCAAGCUUUGCCAGUAAUUUUCCUUUCAAAAUGUCCUUUAGUGAUGAAAAUCAGAGUACAGGAGCAAAUGCACCAAGUAUUCAACACCUAUUUUUAAAAAUAUUCAUUGUUAUUUGGGCAAUAAAUUUUUCAUAAUAACAUUUAAAUUUACUACAUAACUUAGGGUGCCAACUCCUGGGUAAGACCCAUUGAGACUGGCAUUAUUACUAUCCCCAUUUUACAGAUAAUAAGUUAGGUAUAAAGAAGGUUAAGUAUCUUAUACAAACUCUGUAUAUCCCAAUCAGGCUGGGCUCAUCCUCAGGUAAUGUGGCUGUAAAGGCUAUAUUUCUAACCAUGCCACUAAACUGCUUAUUACAGCGAUCUUCUUUUAAAAAGACUCACUCCUAUGUGAAAUCCAGUUAUUUGGAUAAGGACAUGCUGUGCAGCCAGAAUUUUUAAAGUUAAGUGAUAAAGAUAGUUGAGAGAAUAAUGAGUAAGUAUUCCCAUGAGAAUUAAAAAAAGAAAAAACUUUUAUCCAAAAAGUUAAACUUGCUAAUUCAAAAAUGCAUGUAGUAGACCAAAUGAAAAUAGCCUCAGAUUACAAAUGACUAUAUUUUGCAUGGUUUCUUCCAUUUAUAUCUAUAUGUUCUAAAUGUGAAUAUAUUUUCCAGCCUUUAUAAUACUUCAUAUACUAGCUACUGCAUACUGCUUUUACUUAGUGAUAUACUAUUAUCACUUCUUAUGUAACAUAACAUGGGCUUUACCAGAUCUCAUUGCAUGGCUAUUCUAUAUUAAGUUAUCCUGUAGAGUCAUACAGGUGGACUGUCAGAAUAGAUACAUAAGUUGCUCUUCUUUCUUCUCUCGCAUGUUCUGAUUUGUUUUAGCUAUACUAUUUAUUUUGAAAUUUCAAAAAAUGUUAGUGGAAAAUAACCAUUCCUCUACCCACUUUUAGGAGAAAAUUUGAUGGGAUAAAUGAUUUACUCAAUGGCCCACAGGAAGACAAGGGCUAAAAAGGGUGGAGAAUGAUUUAAUCAACAUGGCAUUGUUGGAUAUUUAAAUGAAAACAUUUUGUACAAAAAUCAUAUUAGUUCUCAUUAGGGUCAGGAUAAAUUCCAAAGGAUGUGAAUGCAGGAUGUGAAAAUUUAAAUUUUUAAUACUCUUGCUACAUAAUGCCUAACUGCUUGCUAGUAAUUUUAUGAGCUUAUAUCUUCACCAAUAUAGUGUGAGAAAGCUCAUUAUCUUACACAUAUAUAUAUAAUUUUGGUAUUAAAAUUAUAUAUUUGUUAUUUUUCCAUCCCUGGCCUGGCCUGGGAACUUCCACAUGCUGCUGGGCGGGGGGGCGCGGGGGGGGGGGAUUCAUAUUGCUUUGAUUUCUUACUUUUUUUUACAUAUCUUCAUAUUCUCUUGGUCAAACAAAUCUAUCCUGUCAGAACAUAGAAAUAAAUUACUAUGACUUUCUUCCUGGGUUACUAUAUAUACAUGCUGUUACCCUGAUUAUAACAAUGACUUUCAUUCACUAAACAUUAAACAGUGCAGGCAAUGAGUAGCCUGAGCUUGACAGUCAUUUCCAUUAUCUCAUUUAACCCUCAAAACAACUCUGUAUUGUUAUUCUCAUUUUCUUAACGCUUUGAGGUGUUAAGGAGAGUAGACCCAAGUCACAGAGAUGAGCUGAAACACAGUAUUUGAGCAGACUCACACCCUUGUAAUUAAGCACUUAGGGGGCGGGGGAGGGCGCACCUUGCGCAAAAACAAAAACAACCAGAACAAAACCAAAGCCGGUUCCCGCCCACUCACUGUUUUCUUCUAAUAAUCACGAGAUUCUAAAUUAAAACAGAUGUGACUUUUUGGCUGCCAGACAUGGCUAUCGACCAGUUUAUCUCACUCCUAGCGUCUCUAGUGUCAGGGGUCACUUGAAGAGGCAAACAGGUUUGAGGCAAACAGUACACGUCUUUCCCCUUCGCAAAGGGAAACAGCCUGACAGAGUCACAGAAAACGGAGGGGGUACCACCAUUUUUAAAUCUUCAGAGCUCGAGCGGCCAAAUUUUACCUCUAAGUCUUAGGAGACCAAGGUAACGAAACAGGUAGACCGAUCGAGCACAGCACCAGGCCUUCAGCGCUGUAGAAAGGCGGAGAAUGGACGCAAACGUGACGCACGCUUCCGGGCUACACCCCC